This 379-nucleotide ribosomal RNA is filed under the name uncultured Eubacteriales bacterium. RNAcentral's name for it is "bacterial SSU rRNA". It matches the Rfam family "Bacterial small subunit ribosomal RNA", at positions 996 to 1382 of the family's 1533-position model. Lineage: Bacteria; Bacillati; Bacillota; Clostridia; Eubacteriales. The record is from RNAcentral.
UAGACCUUUAUCCUUCGGGGUACGAGCGGACGACAGGUGGUGCAUGGUUGUCGUCAGCUCGUGUCGUGAGAUGUUGGGUUAAGUCCCGCAACGAGCGCAACCCUUGUCUUUAGUUGCCAUCAUUAAGUUGGGCACUCUAAAGAGACUGCCGAUGACAAAUCGGAGGAAGGUGGGGAUGACGUCAAAUCAUCAUGCCCUUUAUGUCCUGGGCUACACACGUGCUACAAUGGUCGGUACAACGAGAAGCAAGCCAGCGAUGGCAAGCAAAUCUCUAAAAGCCGAUCCCAGUUCGGAUUGCAGGCUGCAACUCGCCUGCAUGAAGUCGGAGUUGCUAGUAAUCGCGGAUCAGAAUGCCGCGGUGAAUGCGUUCCCGGGUCUU